AUUGAACGCUGGCGGCAGGCCUAACACAUGCAAGUCGAACGGUAACAGGAAGAAGCUUGCUUCUUUGCUGACGAGUGGCGGACGGGUGAGUAAUGUCUGGGAAACUGCCUGAUGGAGGGGGAUAACUACUGGAAACGGUAGCUAAUACCGCAUAACGUCGCAAGACCAAAGAGGGGGACCUUCGGGCCUCUUGCCAUCGGAUGUGCCCAGAUGGGAUUAGCUAGUAGGUGGGGUAACGGCUCACCUAGGCGACGAUCCCUAGCUGGUCUGAGAGGAUGACCAGCCACACUGGAACUGAGACACGGUCCAGACUCCUACGGGAGGCAGCAGUGGGGAAUAUUGCACAAUGGGCGCAAGCCUGAUGCAGCCGUGCCGCGUGUAUGAAGAAGGCCUUCGGGUUGUAAAGUACUUUCAGCGGGGAGGAAGGGAGUAAAGUUAAUACCUUUGCUCAUUGACGUUACCCGCAGAAGAAGCACCGGCUAACUCCGUG
Molecule: ribosomal RNA, 490 nt
Filed under: uncultured bacterium
Lineage: Bacteria
Description: partial 16S ribosomal RNA
Rfam family: Bacterial small subunit ribosomal RNA
Source: RNAcentral